CAACACCUCAGGUCUGCCGAGAAGUUCAUUAAACCCUCCCACCUAGAGGAAGGAGAAGUCGUAACAAGGUUUCCGUAGGUGAACCUGCGGAAGGAUCAUUGA
RNAcentral lists this ribosomal RNA (102 nucleotides) under Tetradesmus nygaardii. RNAcentral's name for it is "partial 18S ribosomal RNA". It matches the Rfam family "Eukaryotic small subunit ribosomal RNA", at positions 1731 to 1831 of the family's 1831-position model. Lineage: Eukaryota; Viridiplantae; Chlorophyta; Chlorophyceae; Sphaeropleales; Scenedesmaceae. The record is from RNAcentral.